UGACAGACGGGCGUUCUGCUCCUCUUUAAAGAGCAUGGAUUUAUCCACACCCUAUGACAUGAAUGAAAUGAGUUUUCAGGGCUGCCAACUCUCCAGUUAGGGUUCUGCAGUAGUAUGCCUCUUCUACAAUA
This is a small nucleolar RNA of Cricetulus griseus (Chinese hamster), 131 nucleotides long. Ensembl annotates it as small nucleolar RNA U109. NCBI's taxonomy places the organism in Eukaryota, Metazoa, Chordata, Mammalia, Rodentia, Cricetidae. The record is from Ensembl.